UACGUAGGGGGCAAGCGUUGUCCGGAAUCACUGGGCGUAAAGCGCACGUAGGCGGAUGUGUCAGUCAGGGGUGAAAUCCCGGGGCUCAACCUCGGAACUGCCUUUGAUACAGCACGUCUCGAGUCCGGAAGAGGUGGGUGGAAUUCCUAGUGUAGAGGUGAAAUUCGUAGAUAUUAGGAAGAACACCGGUGGCGAAGGCGGCCCACUGGUCCGGUACUGACGCUGAGGUGCGAAAGCGUGGGGAGCAAACAGG
Molecule: ribosomal RNA, 253 nt
Filed under: uncultured bacterium
Lineage: Bacteria
Description: partial 16S ribosomal RNA
Rfam family: Bacterial small subunit ribosomal RNA
Source: RNAcentral